RNAcentral lists this ribosomal RNA (254 nucleotides) under uncultured bacterium. RNAcentral describes it as "partial 16S ribosomal RNA". It matches the Rfam family "Bacterial small subunit ribosomal RNA", at positions 524 to 776 of the family's 1533-position model. The record is from RNAcentral.
UACGGGGGGGGGCAAGCGUUGUUCGGAAUUACUGGGCGUAAAGGGCUCGUAGGCGGCCAACUAAGUCAGCCGUGAAAUCCCCAGGCUUAACCUGGGAACUGCGUCUGAUACUGGAUGGCUUGAAUUCGGGAGAGGGAUGCAGAAUUCCAGGUGUAGCGGUGAAAUGCGUAGAUAUCUGGAGGAAUACCGGUGGCGAAGGCGGCAUCCUGGACCGACAUUGACGCUGAUGAGCGAAAGCUAGGGGAGCAAACGGG